AACGAACGCUGGCGGCAGGCCUAACACAUGCAAGUCGAGCGAGAUCUUCGGGUCUAGCGGCGGACGGGUGAGUAACGCGUGGGAAUAUGCCUCUUGGUACGGAAUAGCCUCGGGAAACUGGGAGUAAUACCGUAUGUGCCCUUUGGGGGAAAGAUUUAUCGCCAAGAGAUUAGCCCGCGUUGGAUUAGGUAGUUGGUGGGGUAAUGGCCUACCAAGCCGACGAUCCAUAGCUGGUUUGAGAGGAUGAUCAGCCACACUGGGACUGAGACACGGCCCAGACUCCUACGGGAGGCAGCAGUGGGGAAUCUUAGACAAUGGGGGCAACCCUGAUCUAGCCAUGCCGCGUGAGUGAUGAAGGCCUUAGGGUUGUAAAGCUCUUUCAGCUGGGAAGAUAAGGACGGUACCAGCAGAAGAAGCCCCGGCUAACUCCGU
RNAcentral lists this ribosomal RNA (432 nucleotides) under uncultured bacterium. RNAcentral's name for it is "partial 16S ribosomal RNA". It matches the Rfam family "Bacterial small subunit ribosomal RNA", at positions 29 to 506 of the family's 1533-position model. The record is from RNAcentral.